GGGGUCGUCCUGCCCCACAUGGGGGGGUUCUACGUCUUCGGGGGUGAGUGCGGUUAUGGGGUGGGCAUGGGGUCGCUAUGGGGUCCUUAUGGGGUGGGUAUGGGGUCCUUAUGGGGCUGGGUGGUUAUGGGGCGGUUAUGGGGUGGUUAUGGGGUGGUUAUAGGGCUGGGGGGCUAUGGGGUGGCUAUGGGGUCUCUAUGGGUUGCUGUGUGUUCCUAUGGGAUUUACGGGAUCUGUGGGUCACUCUAUGGCAUCUAUGGGGCACCGCGUGUUCCUAUGGGGUCUGUGGGUCUCUAUGGGGUCUAUGGGGUGCUGUGUGUUCCUAUGGGGUCUAUGGGUCUCUAUGGGGUCUGUGGGUCAGUCUAUGGGAUCUAUGGGGUGUGUGGGUCUGUAUGGGGUGCCAUGUGUUCCUAUGGGAUCUGUGGGUCUCUAUGGGGUGCUGUGUGUUCCUAUGGGAUUUAUGGGAUCUGUGGGUCACUCUAUGGGGUCUGUGGGUCUCUAUGGGGUCUCUGUGGGUUGCUGUGUGUUGCUAUGGGAUUUAUGGGGUGUGUGGGUCACCCUAUGGGAUCAGUGGGGUCUGUGGGUCCGUUUUUAGGGCAGGCCCUGGGCGCCCCAUUGGGGGAUCUGGUGAUGUUCAACUUCAGCACCAAUUCCUGGAGCCGCAUCCUGCAGCGCCCCGCGCCGGUCAGCGCCCGCCCUGACCUCUGACCUCUGACCCCAGCCCUGACCUCUGACCCCCAGCAAUGUCAUCUGACCCCUGCCCUGACCUCUGAACUCACAUCUGACCUCUGACCCCCAGCCCUGACCUCUGACCCUCAGCCCUGACCUCUGACCCCCAGCCCUGACCUCUGACCCUCAGCAAUGUCCUCUGACCCCCAGCCCUGACCUCUGACAACCAGCCCUGGCCUCUGACCCCAGCCCUGACCUCUGACCCUCAGCAAUGUCCUCUGACCCUCAGCCCUGACCUCUGACCCUCACCUCUGACCUCUGAAACCCAGCCCUGACCUCUGACCUCACGUCUAACCUCUGACCCCAGCCCGGACCUCUGACCCUCAGCAAUGUCCUAUGACCCUCAGCCCUGACCUCUGACCUCACCUCAGACCUCUGACCCCCANNNNNNNNNNNNNNNNNNNNNNNNNNNNNNNNNNNNNNNNNNNNNNNNCCUCAGCCCUGACUUCUGACCCCCAGCCCUGACCUCUGACCUCACAUCUGACCUUUGACCCCCAGCCCUAACCCUGGGCCCCCCUCCCCCCAUCCCUGACCCUUGACCCCCGUGACUCCCUGACCUUUGACCUCUGACUCCAGCUCUGACCUCCAACCCCCAUCCUUGGUCUCAGACCCCCGUCCCUGACCUCUAACUCCCCAUCCCUGACCCCUGACCCCCAUCCCUGACCCUUGACCCCCC
This 1405-nucleotide long non-coding RNA is filed under the name Phasianus colchicus (ring-necked pheasant). RNAcentral's name for it is "lncRNA (ENSPCLG00000017522.1)". Lineage: Eukaryota; Metazoa; Chordata; Aves; Galliformes; Phasianidae. The record is from RNAcentral.